This 301-nucleotide ribosomal RNA is filed under the name uncultured bacterium. RNAcentral describes it as "partial 16S ribosomal RNA". It matches the Rfam family "Bacterial small subunit ribosomal RNA", at positions 509 to 807 of the family's 1533-position model. The record is from RNAcentral.
CAGCCGCCGCGGGAAUACGAAGGGGGCUAGCGUUGCUCGGAAUUACUGGGCGUAAAGGGAGCGUAGGCGGAUCGUUAAGUUGGGGGUGAAAGCCCGGGGCUCAACCUCGAAAUUGCCUUCAAUACUGGCGAUCUUGAGUAUGGAAGAGGUAUGUGGAACUCCGAGUGUAGAGGUGAAAUUCGUAGAUAUUCGGAAGAACACCAGUGGCGAAGGCGACAUACUGGUCCAUUACUGACGCUGAGGCUCGAAAGCGUGGGGAGCAAACAGGAUUAGAUACCCCCGUAGUCCCUGUCUCUUAUAC